UAGCAAGGUUAACCGUAUAGGGGAGCCGGAGGGAAACCGAGUCUUAAUUGGGCGUUAAGUUGCAGGGUAUAGACCCGAAACCCGGUGAUCUAGCCAUGGGCAGGUUGAAGGUUGGGUAACACUAACUGGAGGACCGAACCGACUAAUGUUGAAAAAUUAGCGGAUGACCUGUGGCUGGGGGUGAAAGGCCAAUCAAACCGGGAGAUAGCUGGUUCUCCCCGAAAGCUAUUUAGGUAGCGCCUCGUGAAUUCAUCUCCGGGGGUAGAGCACUGUUUCGGCUAGGGGGCCAUCCCGGCUUACCAACCCGAUGCAAACUGCGAAUACCGGAGAAUGUUAUCACGGGAGACACACGGCGGGUGCUAACGUCCGUCGUGAAGAGGGAAACAACCCAGACCGCCAGCUAAGGUCCCAAAGUCAUGGUUAAGUGGGAAACGAUGUGGGAAGGCCCAGACAGCCAGGAUGUUGGCUUAGAAGCAGCCAUCAUUUAAAGAAAGCGUAAUAGCUCACUGGUCGAGUCGGCCUGCGCGGAAGAUGUAACGGGGCUAAACCAUGCACCGAAGCUGCGGCAGCGAACGUAUCACCCAAGACAACUUUACGGAGUUGACGAUUGACGGAGCGAAGCGACGUCAAAGCGUUCAUUAAAGUCGAGUUGGCUUAGGGAUACGUUCGUUGGGUAGGGGAGCGUUCUGUAAGCCUGUGAAGGUGUGUCGUGAGGCAUGCUGGAGGUAUCAGAAGUGCGAAUGCUGACAUAAGUAACGAUAAAGCGGGUGAAAAGCCCGCUCGCCGGAAGACCAAGGGUUCCUGUCCAACGUUAAUCGGGGCAGGGUGAGUCGACCCCUAAGGCGAGGCCGAAAGGCGUAGUCGAUGGGAAACGGGUUAAUAUUCCCGUACUUGGUGUUACUGCGAAGGGGGGACGGAGAAGGCUAUGUUGGCCGGGCGACGGUUGUCCCGGUUUAAGCGUGUAGGUGUGUGUUCCAGGUAAAUCCGGUUCACUUUAACACUGAGGCGUGACGACGAGGCACUACGGUGCUGAAGCAACAAAUGCCCUGCUUCCAGGAAAA
Molecule: ribosomal RNA, 1061 nt
Filed under: Salmonella enterica subsp. enterica serovar Typhimurium
Lineage: Bacteria; Pseudomonadati; Pseudomonadota; Gammaproteobacteria; Enterobacterales; Enterobacteriaceae
Description: partial 23S ribosomal RNA
Rfam family: Bacterial large subunit ribosomal RNA
Source: RNAcentral